Molecule: long non-coding RNA, 3229 nt
Filed under: Gossypium barbadense (sea-island cotton)
Lineage: Eukaryota; Viridiplantae; Streptophyta; Magnoliopsida; Malvales; Malvaceae
Description: long non-coding RNA (GBAR_LNC023608)
Source: RNAcentral
CUAUCUUUAGCACAUGUAAUAUAUUUCAAAAUUUACUAUUCAUCCAUAAUUCCUUAAUAAUCCUUAUCAUCUACUUCAUAUAUUACUUUUGUAUUUUUUUUAUAAUUUAGUUAUCAAUUCAAUAGUUCGUAUAGCACUAUAAUUUAUUUUUCAAUGAAACAUAUAACGCAAUAUUCAUCAUCAUAUUCAUUCGACAUUUUCAACUCUAAAACAUAAGCAAAUAUAUCAGCAUCCAAAUCUCGACUCAAUUCGACACAAUUAUGGCAUGUACCUCUAAACUCAAUUCUGAGCUCGAUUUAGUCCGAGAAUCGACUAAACCUGCAAAGCUCUGAUACCACCAAAAUUGUAACACCCCUUACCCGAGACCGUUGCCGGAAUCGAGUACGAGGCAUUACUUAGCUUAUCUUACUAAUUCGGGGCAUAAAAAUUCGUUUUAAAAAUUAAUUUCACUGUUUACAGUAAUCUGUCCAAUCGCGCAACAGUUACUAAAUUGAUUAUAACUCGAGCUACGGAACUCCAAAUUUAAUUUCGUAAAUUUUCCCUGAAACUAGACUCAUAUAUAUACUCACCAUAAAAUUUUUAGAAUUUUUGGUUCAGCAAAUUAGUACAGUUUAUUAGUUAAAGUCUCCCCUGUGUCACCACCAGACUGCCCUGACCUCUAGUCACUAAAAAUAAGUUUUCUCACUAUAGGAUUUUCAUAUGAAGUUCUUACUUGCUUCUAUAGAAAAUAGACUCAUUAAGGAAUCUAAGCAUGUAAAUUUCAACUCAUAACCAUUUUUGUACAAUUUUUAAUUAUUUUCUAAACUCAGAACAGGGGACUCCAAAAACAAUUCUGACCCUAUCUUACUAAAAUUCACAUAUCUUAAAAUAUAAAUUUCUUUUCUCUACACUGUUAUUUUUCCAUGAAAAUAGACUCAACAAGCUUUAAUUCCAUAUAUCAUUCACCCUCUAAUUCAUUUUAUACUAUCUUGGGUGAUUUUUCAAAUUCAAGUCACUAUUGCUGCCUGAAUUCUGUUUCUUUGCAAAAUUUUACCAUUUUAUGACUUUCAUACCUAAUUUAUCACUUAGACUUUUAUAACAAUAAUUAACUUCAUCCUUGACCAUUUAAACAACCAUUCAUCAUCAAAUACUUACACAUCAUUCUAUAGUAAAAUCAUAUUUACAAAUAUACAAAAUUACUAAAUUCCUAUACAUGCCAUAACUAAAAGAAAUGUUCACCACCACAAUUAGCUCAGAAUCGGCUUUGGAUGCUGAUUCAACAAUCCGACUUUGACCUAACCUGCGCACGGAAACAACCGUACGCUGAGUAUGGAAAUACUCAGUGGUAUUACCAUAAUUCGAAUUAAUAACAUUAAUCGAUAAAUUAUAUACAUUUUAUUUAUGUCUACAAUUAUUCAUUAAUUAUCUCAUGCAUUAAAUCAACUUGAUAAUUAAUAACAAUAAGCUAUAAUUCAAAUCUUGUAUUUAAUUGUAUUCAUACCUUAUUUCACUAUCUCAAUUCCAUUGGAUUUUUCUUUACAUCUCAUUCCAAUAGUUCAUUUCAAUUCAUAUACAAUUCAUUUCAUUUAAUUUAUAUUCAAUAUAAAUUUUAUUGCAAUUUGUACUCACUAAUAUCAUAUAACAAAAUUUACUCUUUAUCACAUCAUGAACUUUGGGCUCAUAUCUUUAAAUCUCUUAUUUCGAUUUCCAAUUCACACAUCAAUUCACACUUCACUUUUUCGUUUCUUCCCAUAGCUCAAUCAAUCACAUUUAUUCAAUUUUCUCAUUUCAAUUAUUUACCCCUAUUAACAAGACUCGGACCUUGGCGGAUACACGGAUCCAACCAAACACACCAAAAUGGCACCCAGUGCCUCAUCGGAUAGUUCGAAGCAAUAGUUGACACCCAGUGUCUCAUCGGCCCAGCCGAAGUAAAGUUGGUACCCAGUACCUCAUCGAAUCUAUCCGAAGAAAUAUAGUGACACCCAGUGUCUCAUCGACUCAAGGUCGAAGUAUCCCUGAACUCUUCCAAUCCUAUGGCAUGCCAACUAUAUCCGACUCAGCCCGACUAGUUAAUAGGGUUUCCGAAUCACAUUUCAAUUCAAUCACUUUCUCAUACUUUCAAUUCAAAUCAUUCCCAUUUAAUCACCAUUUGUUUCAAUACAUUUUUCUAUUUCAAAUUCACUUUCGAUUUAAUCGCAAUUCAACUCAGAUUCACUUCCCACUUUCAAAUCAAUAUACAAUUCAAUACCAAUACAUAUUUCAGAUAUUCACAUAUAAUCAUACUUCGAUUCAAUUCAAACCACUUUUCAAUCAAUACACAAUUCACAUAUUCACAUAUCUCAAUUUAAUAUCUCAUUUAUUCAAUUCAUAUUUUAAUUCAUUCAAUUAAAUAUUGAUAUUCUCCUUAUUUUUAUUUACUAACAUAUUAUUCAAAAUUCAAUAAUUACUGUCAAUAAAUUCAAUAUCAAUACGUAUAUAUAUUAUUCAAUUCAAUUAUGAAACUCACCUCAAUUUGCUUAUCGUGUAUAUUAAUUUAAUUUUCAACGAUUAAUAAUUAAAUUCGAAUUAUAGUAAUACUAACCGUAAUUUCUCUCGAGUCACUCCUUGUCCACUUUCUCCUUUCCUUUCUCGGACAAUGACUCGUACACGACAUUAACUACGUAAUUAAACAAUUAAAAAUCAUUAAUACACAAUUUCAUUAAAAUAUUUCCUUUUAUACCUAAACUUUACCCAAAUUCUAAUUUAAUCCCUUACCAAUACUAAUUUUAUUUUUCCCAAUCUAACUCUAUAUUCUCUCUUAAUUCUUACUAAACUCAUAUUUAACUAUUUAAUUUUUAUCAUGUUUUCAUAAUUCCGAAUUUAUUUCAAAUUAAUCCCUAAAAUUCAAAACUUAUAGUUUAAUUUACAAUUCAAUCCUUUAUUCAAUUCCAAUCAAAAUUUCUAUCAAAUACAUCCCUAAUUUAACAAUUUAUUCAACAUGAACCAUGCUUAAUAAUCUACUAACUUUCAAAAUUUCAACUUAAAUCAAGUAGUAUUUUAUUCUAGGAUUUCAAAAAAAAUAUCAAAAUUAAGAGAAAAGGGGAUUAAAUUGACUUACCAAAUUACUUUGAACCUUAAAACCCCGAAUUUCCCUUUUUCUUUUCUUUUAUUUCUUUCUUUCCUUCCUUCCUUCUCUGUUUCGUUUUGCUCUCUGUUUCUUUCUUUCUCCCUUCUCUGUUUUGUUUUGCUCUCUGUUUCUUUUCUUUCUUUC